RNAcentral lists this ribosomal RNA (1334 nucleotides) under Campylobacter coli. RNAcentral describes it as "partial 23S ribosomal RNA". It matches the Rfam family "Bacterial large subunit ribosomal RNA", at positions 1602 to 2925 of the family's 2925-position model. RNAcentral also lists the same sequence under 1 other name. Lineage: Bacteria; Pseudomonadati; Campylobacterota; Epsilonproteobacteria; Campylobacterales; Campylobacteraceae. The record is from RNAcentral.
GUCGAGCCAAGAAAAGUUUCUAAGUUUAGCUAAUGUUGCCCGUACCGUAAACCGACACAGGUGGGUGGGAUGAGUAUUCUAAGGCGCGUGGAAGAACUCUCUUUAAGGAACUCUGCAAAAUAGCACCGUAUCUUCGGUAUAAGGUGUGGUUAGCUUUGUAUUAGGAUUUACUCCGAAAGCAAGGAAACUUACAACAAAGAGUCCCUCCCGACUGUUUACCAAAAACACAGCACUCUGCUAACUCGUAAGAGGAUGUAUAGGGUGUGACGCCUGCCCGGUGCUCGAAGGUUAAUUGAUGGGGUUAGCAUUAGCGAAGCUCUUGAUCGAAGCCCGAGUAAACGGCGGCCGUAACUAUAACGGUCCUAAGGUAGCGAAAUUCCUUGUCGGUUAAAUACCGACCUGCAUGAAUGGCGUAACGAGAUGGGAGCUGUCUCAAAGAGGGAUCCAGUGAAAUUGUAGUGGAGGUGAAAAUUCCUCCUACCCGCGGCAAGACGGAAAGACCCCGUGGACCUUUACUACAGCUUGACACUGCUACUUGGAUAAGAAUGUGCAGGAUAGGUGGGAGGCUUUGAGUAUAUGACGCCAGUUGUAUAUGAGCCAUUGUUGAGAUACCACUCUUUCUUAUUUGGGUAGCUAACCAGCUUGAGUUAUCCUCAAGUGGGACAAUGUCUGGUGGGUAGUUUGACUGGGGCGGUCGCCUCCCAAAUAAUAACGGAGGCUUACAAAGGUUGGCUCAGAACGGUUGGAAAUCGUUCGUAGAGUAUAAAGGUAUAAGCCAGCUUAACUGCAAGACAUACAAGUCAAGCAGAGACGAAAGUCGGUCUUAGUGAUCCGGUGGUUCUGUGUGGAAGGGCCAUCGCUCAAAGGAUAAAAGGUACCCCGGGGAUAACAGGCUGAUCUCCCCCAAGAGCUCACAUCGACGGGGAGGUUUGGCACCUCGAUGUCGGCUCAUCGCAUCCUGGGGCUGGAGCAGGUCCCAAGGGUAUGGCUGUUCGCCAUUUAAAGCGGUACGCGAGCUGGGUUCAGAACGUCGUGAGACAGUUCGGUCCCUAUCUGCCGUGGGCGUAAGAAGAUUGAAGAGAUUUGACCCUAGUACGAGAGGACCGGGUUGAACAAACCACUGGUGUAGCUGUUGUUCUGCCAAGAGCAUCGCAGCGUAGCUAAGUUUGGAAAGGAUAAACGCUGAAAGCAUCUAAGCGUGAAGCCAACUCUAAGAUGAAUCUUCUCUAAGCUCUCUAGAAGACUACUAGUUUGAUAGGCUGGGUGUGUAAUGGAUGAAAGUCCUUUAGCUGACCAGUACUAAUAGAGCGUUUGGCUUAUCUUUAAUAAAGCAU